GUGCAGUGAUGAAAAAAAUCGUGUUCCAAAGAUAGUGUCUCUCAUGACACUGUCUCUGACGGCACACACCUCUAAGAAGUUCUGAGCAC
Small nucleolar RNA from Cornus florida, 89 nucleotides. RefSeq annotates it as small nucleolar RNA U61. The record is from RefSeq and is a predicted model, not a curated record. Lineage: Eukaryota; Viridiplantae; Streptophyta; Magnoliopsida; Cornales; Cornaceae. The transcript has a single exon.